UUUCGUAGGUGAACCUGCGGAAGGAUCAUUAAU
This 33-nucleotide ribosomal RNA is filed under the name Lepraria harrisiana. RNAcentral's name for it is "partial 18S ribosomal RNA". The record is from RNAcentral. Lineage: Eukaryota; Fungi; Ascomycota; Lecanoromycetes; Lecanorales; Stereocaulaceae.